This 254-nucleotide ribosomal RNA is filed under the name uncultured bacterium. RNAcentral describes it as "partial 16S ribosomal RNA". It matches the Rfam family "Bacterial small subunit ribosomal RNA", at positions 524 to 776 of the family's 1533-position model. The record is from RNAcentral.
UACGGGGGGAGCAAGCGUUGUUCGGAUUUACUGGGCGUAAAGGGCGCGUAGGCGGUCAGCACAAGUCAGUUGUGAAAUCUCCGGGCUUAACUCGGAAAGGUCAACUGAUACUGUGCGACUAGAGUGCAGAAGGGGCAACUGGAAUUCUCGGUGUAGCGGUGAAAUGCGUAGAUAUCGAGAGGAACACCUGCGGCGAAGGCGGGUAGCUGGGCCAACACUGACGCUGAUGCGCGAAAGCUAGGGGAGCAAACGGG